Molecule: long non-coding RNA, 877 nt
Organism: Paramisgurnus dabryanus
Lineage: Eukaryota; Metazoa; Chordata; Actinopteri; Cypriniformes; Cobitidae
Source: RefSeq, a predicted model, not a curated record
UGAACAUUAUCAAAUAUUAUUAAUGUUGUAAAAUAUAUUGUUCAUUGUUAGUUCAUAUUAGCUAAGGCAUUACCAAAUGUUAAGGAAUAAACUCUUAUAGUAAAGUGUUACUAAAUUUUCUUUUACCAUUUCCUUCACAAUGUCUAUUUAUUUCUAUGGCUAACAGAUUUUGUAACAUUUGUCUUUUUUACAGUCUUACCAUUGCUUGUAAGCUGGAUUGGGUAAGAUGGAUCAUCUUUAAAGGCACCAGGAGUUAAGGCAGAUGUGGAGGCACAACGGGUGAUACCAGACACACACCAAGCACAUUAUGUUCGGACAUUCAAUCAUGACAGGAUCCAGGUGGAUGCUGUCCAUUGAGGAAAGAGUUUGUUCAGCGGUUUCUGGAUAGAAUUAAUUCCAAAGAUGGGAAAAAGUGCACAUCCAGACAAGGAGCAAGCAAAAAGACAAGGAACUUGGUGCAGAGAAAAGCUGUGGCCAUUAACCCCCAUGUGAACAGCUUCAUGCAGUCCCUGAUUGAGUUCGAAUGGACGACUUCAAAGUAAAGGCCACUGUGGUCUGUCUGCCACAGUUUAAUGCAUUUAUUUUUAGUGUUAAAUGAAAUUUAAGUAGAAUAUUUAAAACUAUGGGCCAGUGUUCUUUUUACCACAGUGAAAUGUUACCUUUUAGUCGAUGAUGGACUUUAAACUGAAAACUUCAAACUAUGGAACAGUGUUCUAUUUGCCAGAGUUAAAUAUGUUACAGCAGGGGUCUCCAAACUUGUUUAUACUUGUUGAUUUUAUUUUAUGUUACUUGAUUAUAUGUUUAUUAUUGUUUAAAAUCUUGUUUUAAAUAUGUUUGUUUCAAUUAAAUGUUUUUUUAAAUAAAAUUUUGAUACAUA